Macaca mulatta (Rhesus monkey) is the source of this 1875-nucleotide long non-coding RNA. The record is from Ensembl. Lineage: Eukaryota; Metazoa; Chordata; Mammalia; Primates; Cercopithecidae.
GAGACAAGAAAAUCUUCUGAUAAGAAAAUGGAAGUCAAUAACAACUGAUACCAAUAAUGCAAUCUACUGCCACACGAGAAGGAGAUGAGGAAGUGUCCCGACCUUGAGAUAUCAUGGAGCCUUCAUUAGUUAUUUGUGUAGUAAAUAUAAUUUUUGUACCUGUGUUCUCCACUUGUUUUUUGUUUUUUUUCUUUUUUUUCUAGAGCUAAGUAGUAGGUACGAGACUAGAGAUAUAUGGAAAGAAGGAGGAAGCAUCUCCUUGCCUUUUUCUCUCCUUGCUGGAACCAAUGUAUGCAAAUAGACCCUUUUCUAUCCUGUUGCUAGGGAGACAGAACAAAACAUGGCUCAACAUUUACUCACUGUUACCACCUGUUUCCCUGUUGACAUGCACUGUAGUCACUGGACUUUGAAAUGGAUUAAGGCGAUCCCUGAUGAAGGUACUGAGGAAGUUGGUAAGCUGACACUCCCAUUUCUAAUUUUAAAUAACAUCUUUGCUUAAAGAGGCAAAACAAUUACAAAAAGAGAUGAAAAUAUGAAAAGUUUAUGAAGGUGAGUAACAAAAUACUCAAAUUAUAAAAAUAAAAAUACAGUAACUAAAAUUAAGAACUUCAUAUGAGUGAAUAAUAGUGAAUAAUACAUAGAAAGAUCAACAGCUAAUAUUACAGAGAUAAAUCAUUGAAAAUCUAUAUUUGAGACAUUAAGGAAACAGUAAAGAUCUGAACAUAUUUGGAAUUAGAAUCUGCAAAGUAGAAGAAAGAGAGACAAAUGGGGUCAAAGCAGUAUCUGAGGAAAUAAUGACUGAGGAUUUUCCAAAAUUGAUGAAGACCUCAAACAAUUAAAUUCUGAAGCCUUAAGAUUUCAUGGAGCUUACCUUGCUAGAUUUUGAACUUGAUCGGGACCCAUUUACCCCUUCCUUCUUUCUUGUUACUCCUUUGUGAAAUGGGAGUGACUAUCCUCUACCUGUAUAACCACUGUAUUUUGUAUAACGUGUUCAAUUACGCAGGUUCACAGCUGGAGAGGAAUUCUGCCUCAGGAUGAAUUAUACUUCAAGUCUUGCUUAUAUCAGAUUUAGGUAUUUAGAUGAGACUUGAGACUUUAAAGUUAUUACUGGAAUGUGUUAAGCCUUUCAGAGCUGUUGGGAUGAAAUGAAUAGAUUUUUCAUGUGAGAAGGAUAUGAAUUUUGGGGCAGGUCAGGGGCAGAAGACAUUAGACUGAAUAUGUCUACCUCAAAAUUUAUAUGUUGAAAACCUAAUCCCAGUAAGAUGGCAUUUGGAAAUGGGACCUCUGGGAGAUAAUUAGACCACGGGGUGGAGCCCUCAUGAAUGGCAUUAGUGCCCUUAUAAAAGGCCAGAGAGCUAACUAGUGAGUGAGUACUUCUGCAACCCAGAAAAGGGCUCUCAGCAGAACCAACCAUGGUGGUACUCUGAUCUUAGAUUUCCCAGCCUCCAGAACUGUGAAAAAAUAUUUCUAUUGUUUAGAAGUCGCCUAGUCUAUAAUACAUUGUUAUAGAAACCCAAACUGACUAAUGCAGACUUCUUCAGUAAGAAUAAUCCCCAAGAGAAACACUGGAAAUGUAGGAAGGCAUGAAAGACAAAAGGCUACAUAUGUAGGUAAUCAUAGUGGUGUACAAAACAAUGAUAUUAAGAUCUAGUAGGAUUCACAAAAUGAGUAGAAUUAAAAUGUAAAACAACAAUAAUGUAAAAGGCAGAAGAGUGGAGUUGAAGUAUUCCAUGUUUUUAUCAUUAUUGGGAGGAUGAUAAAAGUAGCAAUUCAAAUUAGGCUUUAUUAAUUUAAAAGAGCAUAUUGUAAUCCGUUGUAUAGCCAAUAAGAACAAUAAAAUAAUAUUAAAUAGAAAUUUUACAGUAAGAAAAUAAA